CUUCGACCCGUCGGCCAUGACCAGGGCAAAAGAACUUGGAAAUUGGACAUUGUGCUAUUUAUAUAAACAGCCAAAACCCUCACUAAUUUUAGCCCGGAAAGGGAGAAUGAGAAGGAAUCAGAGAGAAAAAUGGGAUUUUCAGCAAAGGGUGGUUGCCCUCUCUCUGGUUUAUGUCCAUUGUUUCUCCAUUCUUGAAAAACUAACAACCCUUUGAAGAAAAAAGAAAAGGAAAAUAUACAACAGCUGAUUUGCACAAAUAGCCAUUCUCGUCAACAGAAAGGUUUUCUCCGUCAAUUUGGUUCUUGACUCUAUACAAUCAGCCAAAACCUCUUGAAUCUCUAGAAAAUAGGAGCUAUUAUGCUCUUCCUUUUUCUGCUUCUGCUGAUUUUGCACAAAUACCCGCUUUUAUGUCCCUUUGUAUUUACAAGGUGACAACUGAUUUGCACAAAUAGGAUACUGAAAUGGGCUGUGAUGAUGAUUUGCUUCUUUCUUUCUGAGCUAUAUAUACUUUACAUGCGUUGAGAAAAAUCCGACCCGUAUCGUUGUGGGGCUACCCGUGUAUGGCAAUAAUUUGCAAACCGGUGUCUUGCAGCCAUGGCGUGUGUCUCCUUUCUCUUUGCAUGUCCAUGGGACAUACAGCAAAAUCUGAGCCCUAGAUACCCAUUUUGUUUUUUUUUUCUUUUCUGCAGAUGCAGUUUCCCAUCAAUUUUUUAGCUCAAAAGUUGAGGCACUUGGAGAAAAAGAAAAAGGAUUUUUAGCUCAAAAAAUUAGGCCAUUGGAGAAAAAAUGAACUUUUUGGCUUAAAAAUUUGAGGCAAUUGGAGAAACAUGGGAUUUUUAGCUUAAAAACGAGGUAAUUGAAGAAAAAAAUGGGGGUUUUUAAGCUCAAAAAAUGAGGGAACAUCUCCAGCAUGCCUAUGAUUGCUAGUUACUGUUAGCUCUAACCAACAGCCCUUUUUGUAUGGGAAAAAAUUCCAAAUUUACCCACAACUAGCAAAAUGGUCUACUUUGAGAAAAUCCGACCCGUAUCUUGGCAGGGCAAACCGUGUGUGGUAAUAAUUUGCAAACCGGUGUCUGCAGCCGUGGCGUGUGUCUGCUUUUUCUUUGCAUGUUCAUACUGGGAGAAAUUCAAAAAUAGCCAGAUUUAUAAGUGGUAAUCGAAAAAUAGCCACAGUUUCAAAAGUAAUCGGUGCUCAAGUUCAUACACAGGUGAUAUUAUGGUGGAACUUUCGUGUGUUGCAGCAAAAUAGAGGUUAUUUUUCAAUGACUUUACAAAUGAUGGCAAUUUUUCAAUUACCGGUCCGAAAAUUGGCUAGUCCGUGCUAUUUUAUACAGAGCAAAAUUUGAGCCUUAAAUCUUUUAGCUCAUAGAAUGAGGCAAUCGAAGAAAAAUGGGAUUUUCUAGGUACUUGACAAUUUCUGCCAUGCCUACGAUUUCUAAUUUGCUCUAAUCAACUAAAUAUUUGCAUGUGUGUGUAUUGUAUGUCUGUUUUGUCUCUCUAUCUGUGACUACUUUGCUCCUGCGUUUUAGGCAAAGCAUAGAUAAGAGAGGGACUUUCCAAGAUUCGAACACAGGACUUCUUGUUUGGUGAAACCCUUUUUUUUGUAUAGCCAUGUUGUUGUUUCUAAUGCUGGAAUUGCUUCUGUUUGUGCUGUUUGCUGUUAUUGCUGCUGUUGGGCUGUUUUAUGAACCAAACAGCAAGGGAUCAAUGUAACCAAAGGGGGAAGUUAAGGCUGUGAUGGUAAUGCCAAGGAGGGGUUCUUCCCUUGCCCUAAGUAUGGUUUUCUGAUAUACUCAAGAAAAUGCCUCGAUUGAAACAUCAUGGCAUGGUAACCUGGAGAGGUUGCAGCCAUGGCGGGGUAACCUGGCGAGAUUGUAGGGUACAUGAUGCGCAUCUAUAUAUGUUUUUUAUUGGAAAAUAUCGAAGCCGGGUCCCUACUGUGGCAGGGUACUAUUCUUCCACUAGACCACUUGUCCUUCUUAACAUGAUGAGCAUGUAUAUUGUCCGGAAACUAGGGGUAUCAAUGGUUCGGCCAGGCCAGUUAUUUUACAAUGAGAUCCAUAUUUUUGGGAGGUUCAAAAGGAUUAGAGAACUAUAAAUCUCAUUAGUUCAAGUCUGAGUCUACUGGGUUCAGAGUGUUGUGGGGAGCUGUUUGAGUGGUUGCCCCUCUCUGUCAUUCCUAGCAGCCAAUGAUCACUCAAUAUUUCCCAAUUUCGGACCACCCUUUAGCAAUAUAAGUUCGACGAGCCAGUGAAGAUUUUCACUCUUACUCAUCAGAUGGUUGAGCUUUGCUAAAUCUUGGCGUGGAGCUUUUGGUUGGUCUUGUGAGAUAUGGGAGCUAUUUGGUAAGGGGACCAGCGCUUCUACUCCUCCACCGAGGAGCCGUUCUUGCGAGAAGCAAGGGAUGUCGUGAACGGUGGGAGGUCACAGAGAAUUGACCUAUUCAUAGAGUGAUCCUAUGAUCGAUACAGGAUAUAGACUAUCUCAUUCUUUAUUCUAUUCUAUUUCUGAAAGAAAAAAAAAAAGAAGGGUGACUCAACUUCUCAGCUAGAGUUGGUGGUGGGACCUGUUGGCAUAAUGCACGCUGGAACGUGGGAAUUCGAGGUCUCAUGAACUACUACUAAAAACCUACUUUGUUUUUGUUUUGUUUGUGGACAAACAAAAAAGAAGGGUGACUCAACUUCUCUUGCGUGUCUCACAAAGGCUUCUCAUUAAGAUUGCAGCCAUGACGGCGUUUAGCUUAUGCUUGAGAAGAGGCUAAUCUUAGCCUCCCAAGUAUCUGUAUAUUUUCAAAGGAGGCUUUUUAUGGAAGUCGAGAAAGGUUGAGAUUUUCUAAGGGUGGUUAGUCUCUUCCUCUGAAGUUCAGUAUAGCCGAUGAAUUUUGCAGUACUAUUGUAAAAAAGAUAAAGAAUAACAGCCCUAUCAUCAGCUAAUGCCAAUUAUGCUCUUGAUGACGACGACGACGAUGAUAGCCAUGGUUAUGGCAAGCAAACAACAAACAACAACAAAACCAAUGUAAUCCCACAUGUGGCGUUUUGGGAGGAGGGUAUACGCACACCUUACCCCUACCUGGUGAAGGUAGAUAAGCAUGGUUAUUCCAAUAAGGAAAAUACAUAUUCUGCCCCCUAAGCUUGUCCAGGAGAACCUGAAUCCUUAACCCGGAACUUUGUGAUGAGGCUAUGAUGAUAUCUCCCAAAAGCUUGAAAAUGAGAUUUUUGAGCUGAUUGGUAUCUUGGCUAGGCAAAGGCAGGGAAUUUGUGAGGUAGGUACUUAUGUGCUUCUCAUGAAGGCAUCUGCUUUUUGCAGCCAUGUCGGAUUAGCCCUUCUCUUUUGAUAGCAGUACUAAGUACGCCUUGCAUUCCAAUUUAUGUGAACUGAAAAUGUCCAAAUUGCUAUUGAGAAGUUUCCAUCUUCCAAAGAGGCAGUGAUAUUAUUGCUAUCCUAAGCUUAAAUUGGAGGCAUGGAGAAAACCGACUCGUAUCUUGGCAAGGCAAACCAGGAUCAUGCAACUGAUUCAUUUUGAAGCCAUGGCGUUGUCGUCUUCUCUUUGCCCCAUUUUACACAGAUCUGAGCCCCAACCCCCAGUAGGAAGAAUGAGGUAUCAAAGAGAGAAAUGGGAUUUUCAGCAAAAGGGUGGUUGCCCUCUCUCUGGUUUAUGUCCAUGGUUUCUCCAUUCUUGGAAAACUAACAACCCUUUGAAGAAAAAAGAAAAGGCAAAUAUACAACAACUGAUUUACAAAUAGCCAUUCUCGUCAACAGAAAGGUUUUCUCCGUCAAUUUGGUUCUUGACUCUACAUAAUCAGCCAAAACCUCUUGAAUCUCUAGAAAAUAGGAGCUAUUAUGCUCUUCCUUUUUCUGCUUCUGCUGAUUUUGCACAAAUACCCGCUUUUAUGUCCCUUUGUAUUUACAAGGUGACAACUGAUUUGCACAAAUAGGAUACUGAAAUGGGCUGUGAUGAUGAUUUGCUUCUUCCUUUCUGGACUAUAUCUACUUUUCAAGCGUUCAGAAAAUCCGACCCGUAUCUUGGCGGGGCGACCCGUGUAUGGCAAUAAUUUGCAAACCGGUGUCUUGCAGCCAUGGCGUGUGUCUGCUUUCUCUUUGCAUGUUCAUGGGAUAUACAGCAAAAUCUGAGCCCUAGAUACCCAUUUUGGGUUUUUUUUCUUUUCUGCAGAUGCAGUUUCCCAUCAAUUUUUUAGCUGAAAAGUUGAGGCACUUGGAGAAAAAGAAAAAGGAUUUUUAGCUCAAAAAAUUAGGCAAUUGGAGAAAAAAUGAACUUUUUGGCUAAAAAAUUGAGGCAAUUGGAGAAACAUGGGAUUUUUAGCUUAAAAACGAGGUAAUUGAAGAAAAAAAUGGGGGUUUUUUAAGCUUAAAAAAAUGACGGAACAUCUCCAGCAUGCCUAUGAUUGCUAGUUACUGUCAGCUCUAACCAACAGCCCUUUUGGUAUGGGAAAAAAAUUCCAAAUUUACCCACAACUAGCAAAAUGUUCUACUUUGAGAAAAUCCGACCCGUAUCUUGGCAGGGCAAACCGUGUGUGGUAAUAAUUUGCAAACCGGUGUCUGCAGCCAUGGCGUGUGUCUGCUUAAUCUUUGCAUGUUCAUACUGGGAGAAACUCAAAAAUAGCCAGAUUUGUAAGUGGUAAUCGAAAAAUAGCCACAUUUUCAAAAGUAAUCGAAAUUUAGUUACUUUUCAUGUAAAGGUAAAUCUAAACAAAAACAUUGUUCAAAAUCUGAAAAAUAUUCCCGUAUAUUUACGGGAGAUCAAAUUUUUUAAAUGUGAACUGCUCGCACAAUAUACUGAAGUUCAUACACAGGUGCUCAAGUUCAUACACAAGUGAUCCAAUCUCCAGUAUAUUAUAAUAUGCUGGAGCAACAUAGAGGUUAUUUUUCAAUGACUACAAUUGCUGGCUAUUUUUCAAUUACCAGUCCGAGAAUUGGCUAGCUCAGAGCAAAAUUUGAGCCCUGAAUCUUUUAUCUCAAAGAAUGAGGCAAUCGAAGAAAAAUGGCAUUUUUCUAGGUACUUGACAAUUUCUGCCAUGCAUACGCUUUCUAAUUUGCUCUAAUCAACAGAAUAUUUGCAUGUGUGUGGAUUGUAUGUCUAGUUUUGUCUCUAUCUGUGACUACUUUGCUCCUGCGUUUUAGGUAAAGCAUAGAUAAGAGGACACAGGACCUCUUGUUUGGUGAAACCCAUGUCAUUUUGUAUAGCCAUGUUGUUGUUGCUGAUGCUGUAAUUGCU
This 5233-nucleotide long non-coding RNA is filed under the name Nicotiana benthamiana. RNAcentral describes it as "long non-coding RNA (NBEN_LNC035336)". Lineage: Eukaryota; Viridiplantae; Streptophyta; Magnoliopsida; Solanales; Solanaceae. The record is from RNAcentral.